RNAcentral lists this ribosomal RNA (417 nucleotides) under Triticum aestivum (bread wheat). Its description in RNAcentral is "partial small subunit ribosomal RNA". The record is from RNAcentral. Lineage: Eukaryota; Viridiplantae; Streptophyta; Magnoliopsida; Poales; Poaceae.
CCGGAUGUAGUGGAAAAUGAGCAAGGGUCUUCGCAUUUGACUCGACGAGUGCGAAGGGUAAGGAAGCUAGCUAAGCCUAGGAGGAUUCGCUUAGGUAGCUGGAACGUAGGGUCUCUGACAGGGAAGCUUCGGGAGCUAGUUGAUGCAGCGGUGAGGAGAGGUGUUGAUAUCCUUUGCGUCCAAGAAACCAAAUGGAGAGGACAGAAGGCGAAGGAGGUGGAGGAUACCGGCUUCAAGCUGUGGUACACGGGGACGGCUGCAAACAGAAAUGGCGUAGGCAUCUUGAUCAACAAGAGCCUCAAGUAUGGAGUGGUGGACGUCAAGAGACGUGGGGACCGGAUUAUCCUGGUCAAGCUGGUAGUUGAGGACUUGGUUCUCAAUGUUAUCAACGCGUAUGCCCCGCAAGUAGGCCACAAU